GACGAACGCUGGCGGCGUGCUUAACACAUGCAAGUCGAACGGUGAAGCGCCUUCCUUUUUGGUGGGUGUGGAUGAGUGGCGAACGGGUGAGUAACACGUGAGUAACCUGCCCCCUUCUUCUGGAUAACCGCAUGAAAGUGUGGCUAAUACGGGAUAUUCUGGGUCUGUCGCAUGAUGGGUCUGGGACAGAUAUUGUUUCGGUGGGGGAUGGGCUCGCGGCCUAUCAGCUUGUUGGUGGGGUGAUGGCCUACCAAGGCGGUGACGGGUAGCCGGCCUGGGAGGGUGGACGGUCACACUGGGACUGAGACACGGCCGAGACUGCGACGGGAGGCAGAAGUGGAGAAUAGUGCACAGUGGGCGCAAGCCUGAUGCAGCGACGCCGCGGGAGGGAUGGAGGCCUGCGGGUUGUGAACCUCUUUCGCCAGUGAAGCAGGCCUGCCUCGUUUGUGGGUGGGUUGACGGUAGCUGGAUAAGAAGCGCCGGCUAACUACGUG
Molecule: ribosomal RNA, 494 nt
Filed under: uncultured bacterium
Lineage: Bacteria
Description: partial 16S ribosomal RNA
Rfam family: Bacterial small subunit ribosomal RNA
Source: RNAcentral